Molecule: long non-coding RNA, 6263 nt
Filed under: Chlamydomonas reinhardtii
Lineage: Eukaryota; Viridiplantae; Chlorophyta; Chlorophyceae; Chlamydomonadales; Chlamydomonadaceae
Description: long non-coding RNA (CREI_LNC001116)
Source: RNAcentral
CAGCCGCACCAAGCUCUUGACACGGUCAUGCGUGUCCUUGACCACCGCCGUCAGCGCCUCCGCCAGGGCCGCCUCGCGAGUUGGGUCCGCCUGGCGCAGGUGCGGCGGCGUGUCCCAUAGCGCCUGCAUCAGCACGUCGCGCUGCGCCUUGCCGCGGUCAGGAGUGGUUGCUUGCUUGCCUGCCGCCGGACAAAUCGGGACAGAUGGUGAUGUAACUGUACUGGUUACCGGUAAAUUGGAUUCGAUGUCUCCAACAUGCAUACUUUGGCUGGCGGUACCGGCGCCCCAUCCUACACACAUACACACACAUACACACACAUACCCUGCUGGGACGCCACGUGUGCCGCCAUCUUGAUGUCCACGUCCACUCCAUGCACCUUGACCUGCGGGGUGCAUGCCGUGCCAAGCGGAGGAGGCCGACGGUAACAAUCAGGGGUUUCUGCGGGCGUGUCAAGUCCUACUGCUGUCGCUGCCCGAUACCCAGCACGGCAACCACAACGGGAAGUGGUGGAAUGCAUGUGCAAACGUUGUGAGGCCUUCCGUGCACCUUCCGUGCGUGUGCCACUCACGUUGACGCAGUGCUUGUAGUGCGUGCCGUGCUCCACCUCCACCACGUCGUGCAGCCCCUGUCCCCGCAGGUACGCCGCCACCACCCGCUGCAUCUCGCGCUGCAGCCGCUCCCCCGCCUCGCCGCUCCAGUCGGCAGCCUUGAGCGCCCGCUCCUGGAACUUAAUCACGAACACAGACAGGUCGACAUCAAAGGCCCCGCGCACGAGGGUGCGGCGCCCGAAGCUGCCGCCCUUGUGGAACCGGUCAACCUGUGGAAGGGAUGAAUGUAGGUGGGCCGCCGGAUCCGCAGGACUCAACAUGAGGCUCCGUUGGCCGGUGAGUUAUGGACCCGCCCGUAGCGGAUGAGAUUGUUGGCUCACGGAGCUGUGGUUCUGUGGGCGCCGGAGCCCAGGUGGCUGGGGCAGGCUAUCUAGCUACCGCGCGCGGCUACCGUACUUACGAUCCCGCUGAUCCCACACGAAUGCAAGCACCUUGAGGACUGGGCACUGCACCAGCAGCUUGUGAAUGAGGUGGUUGGCGGCCUGCGGCUCCGUAUUGGACACGCCCUGUGCCGUCAGCGGCCGCAGCUCCCCGUUGAAGUGGCGCACGUAGCUCUUGUCCCCACCAGGCGUGAGGUCCAGGUGCAUCUGCGCCGGUAGGUGCCAGUGUCGCCCGUUAGAGGGAUGGGGUAACGGGCGUGGGUUGAAACCCGAGACUGCGGUCGGGUGGCUGUGACUCCCUGUGCCCUCUCGUCUGCGAAAUGCAAGCAGCCUGAUAGAUGCAAUCUCGUACGUACCAUCUUGAGUGUGCGGUGUGGGUCGCCAGCGCUGAUCGGUGGGAAGACCUGCAACGCAAGUGACCAGCGCCCAAAGAUGUGACACCGGUGGGGAUGUGACAUCGGUUGCCCUGUGCACCCGUAAUACACCCGUAACAGUGCCCGCAUACUCUCAGCCUGCGUGAUGGCUCCACAACGCCGCCGCACUUCUCCAUCCUCCGCUCUCUAGCUCACCUGCCUGAGGCGUUGUGCCGCAGCUGAUGCCUUGGAAAGUCGGGCCUGUGCUUGAAGGGCCUGCGCAAGGGCCUGGGCCUGGGCCACGAAGCUGCUGUCGACUGGGUCAUAGAGGUCGAUGUCAGCGACGCCAUCGUCAUCGUAAUAAUCCCAUGGAUCGACAUCGUAGUCCUGUCAAAAUCAGGAUUCACUUUGCGAGCGUUGCAAGCAGGCGUUCGGCCGAGGCCUUCUCCGCACCUCGUCCUCGUAAAGCGCCCUCGCUAGCUUGAUAAAAUCAGAAUAGCUCAUGCUGCUUGAAUCUCCUUGCCUCGUGCGCUCGAAACGGUAGAUAGAGCUGUUGUUCAGUUGUCCACUUAAAAACAAAAAAGGUUUGUCCUUGCCAACCGAAGAUGUAUGAUAUAGCUAAACAGUAAUACAAGUCUGCUCAAUGAUGGACAUAUGAAUGAAGGACGCGUUUAGAAUAAUGUCAAUGAACGGCAGCGGUUGACACGCGUGCCCGAUCGGGGCAUUCCCAAUCAAUGGUUGCUGCUAAUUGCCCAGUUGAGCUCAGCUGCAAGAAGAUGGCACGGCUCAGACAGGCGAAACCUCGCGCGCUCGGCGCCACGACCAUUUUGCCAAUGGUGUUCCUAUGCCGCGCGGGACCGGGACCGGGACUCAGGCAGGAGUCAGGAAGGGGCGAGUGCUUUCGAAGCGAGGCUAGCGCUCCCCCACCAGUCCGCUCCCGUGGUGCCGUGACAGUAUAUACCUGCACGGUACACGGCAUCUCAUACAGCCCAGCCCAUCAUAUCAUAAGCAGACCGCUCGGUGCGGUGGCGUCCCAUGUGGUUUGCCCGCUGGCAUCCGAGUUCCGAAACUCUCGCCAUCGCCGCGCUUGGUCUACGCCUAUUACAGGCAGUCACCAAAUUACCGAAAAAGUAAGUCAGGGGGGGUACGAACAAUAGUUCCAGACCCCACCCUGCAAAACCCCCCGACCCCCCCUGACCGACGACCGACCGUGCCGUACCGUGCCGUACACCCCCGACACCCCCUCUGUUUUCUGCCUGGAUGGUGUCAAACGACUGCUUUCAGCGAGCUCUAUAAACAUGUAAAAACGGGAAGUUCGCAGGGCACGUCUUGACCACAGCCAUGUUGUCAACAUGUUGUGAACAUGUUGCGACCGCUCAGUUGCACCCGUGUAAAGCACGCCCACGAGAUGUGCCUACGCAUGGGACAUACACAUGCGUUCUCCUCCGGCGCGUAAGCACCGGUCCGUGACUUGUGGCGCGUCCUGGUCAGGCGAGACGUGUCGCACCCCAACAUCCCAACCCAACAUGUGUUGGCGGGCGGUAGCCCUUCGUCUUCUGGUAGGCUCUUGACGUUCCCCAGCCGUUAAAAGCUUCCAUAACAUGCUUUGGGCAACGGUCUGGGCUUGCCGGGCUGUCUUAUGAGGCCCAGACGAAUGUUUCCGGCACACCGUGACGAAACCUUGGGACCGACGACCGACCGAACUUUGGGGGCCCAUAUCUCCGCUGUCCCCUCUGUAACAUCCGCAUUCAUAUCUCCGCAAUGUACUACCCUGAACAAAAUCCUGAAAGCGGAUUCUGAGCGCCCUCGUCAGGGUGGGGCCCAGCGCUCGUAUCUUCGUUCGGAACGAAAUUUGCCCAAAAAGGGCUCUGGCGGACGAAAUGUUUUUGAUCUUGACUUUUCGGCCAAAACGCACGGGAUCUUGGGGGGUCUUUCGGCAAACAGACGAAGACAUUUUUGGGAUUUCGGCCACUUUUGGCCGAAGGACAAGCAGGGGUUCCAGCGGCUACUCCACGGCUGAAACCUGCGUGGCAUAUGGUAAGAAGACUCAGAGGGCCGUAUCUAUGGGUGUUGACGGCGGGAGAGUGAGGUUGGGUCGGCGGGAAGCAGGGGAAGAGGUGUCGUGUUGUGUCGGUCGACAUCUGAGAAUGUUCUGGGGCAUUGGGUUCACUGUUAUAUUCCCGCGCAUUUUUGCCGAGAUCGCCGAACCCGGCAGCCUGUUUCGUCAACCAAACGAAGCCAUGUUAAGGAAUUCGGCCACUGACGCGGCCCCUACCUUCGGAAGAUACGAGCGCUGGGUAUGCCUGCGGCAUUCUUUCCCCCCCCCCCUGAGUAAGUGGGCCAGAGCUGUACAGCCUCCCUACCUACCAUGUCCCUGUCAUGCUUUAAACCCAAACAACUUAGACGACUGUGCCGUCCAACUGUCCAACUCACCGUGAUGGGAAGGCGCGGCGUGCAUGUGCGUAGAGAGGGGGGGGGCGGGAGUUCUGUCACUGCUUCUAACCAUCGGACGCAGCACAGGCAGGCUGUGUGCGCAUAUGUGUGCUAGUGGCGCUAGUUGCAGCGCGCGGGACCGUGGCAGGCCGUGAUGGGAACGAAGGCGCGGCGAACACUGAGAAAAAUCAAACAAGCACAAACAAGCAUGUUGGACAAGAUGUGUGGUUCCUCUCGCACGGGAAAAGUGGGCUGCAGUGCUGCACCCAUGUCACGUCUCUAGUCUGAGGCCGCAAGCGUCUACCUCCUCUCCUGGACAUAGCCGGGGUCGGUUCGUACAGGCAGGGCCCGCCAUGCGUCCGCCCACGUCCCGCUGCCCAGCAAAAGCACAGCCAGCAAUCAAACAAACAGCAGAAAAUCCUCUACCCACAACGCUUUUCACUGCUGCAGCCUACCACAAACUGCACGAUGCUGUGCUCGCCAGCAAAGACCCUAACCAGACACCGACCAGCCUGAACCUGCGCGCCGGCGCCGCUUCUUGGGCGGCGCCGCGCUGUCCUCCUCCACGUGGCCUUGCUCGCCCCUCCGCUAUGCACGUGCACGCCGCAACUGCUGGGCCCAGGGCCACUGCCGCCAGGCCCUGUGCCGCUGCUCCUGCUGCUGCCGCUCCUGCUGCUGCUGCUGCUGCUGCUGCUGGUGGGGCCAGGCCCUCCAGUCAGGCACGCACGCACGCAGGCAGGCAUGGACAGGGGCGAUCCUAUGGGGCUUCAUCAACACAUUACGCAGCCACAUUGUGAAAGGCGAAACCCCCCAUGCGUGUCCGUACCGCAGUGCGCCUCCACCCUCAAGACUCAGUCCCCACUCGUCAUGGUGCUGCCCUCACGCCGCAGUCGGCAUUUACUUGACCGCAGUAAUUGCAGGUGCCGCCGCUAUGUUUACUAAGAAUCUGUCAUACCUUCUUCAACACGCAAGGCGACCUUCUGUCCGCCGCAUGGCAAUGAGGAUCACGGCGCCAGCUGCACCCGUAUGGCGGCUGCCAGCGAGCUGCUGGCCACCAGCUCCAGCAUGUUGCAGUCCCGCACCACCCGCCGCAGCGCGCGGGCCGCAGCCGCCAGCGCCGACCAGUCCACAGCGCGGUCGGGCUGGGGGCACUGCGCGCGCCGGCAACAGGUGUAGAGGCAGGAUGGAGGCAGGUCAGAAUAUAUAUACUCAGGAAAGGGCGGGAGGAGCAGGGUGGGGAAGGGGCACAGCGCACGUUGGUACAAGGCAGCCAAAGGCAGGGCUUGCAAUGCAACCUGCAGGGCCUGCUGCCGUACUUGCACACGCUGCGAAUGCAUCACGCGCUCUCACCGCCGCCAGGUUGCAGGUGGGGUCGAUGGGGUGCAGCACCACAACGGGGUCAUUCCGCCACACGUGCCUGCAGCUCUCCGCCUGCGCCCGGGUGUAGCCCCACACCGGCCCCGCCUCCAGCAGCACCACCUCCCGGCGGGUCACAGCCGCGUCCAGCAACUCCAGGGCCGCCAGGAAAACGGCCACCUCGGCUCCGGACCUGUAAGCGAACAGGUCGGCAGCUCAGUCGCCCAGAUGUGCAGCGGUAAACAGAAACCCAUUCUGUAGCCUACGCAUUUGCUUGUGGCACGCACACUCACUCUUGCUUGCCGGGGCUGAGCAGGCCCUUGCGCUGCGCCGCCGCCAGCACCACUGUCUCGAGCAGCACACUGGGCACGUAGGGGAUGUACCGCUGCAGGGAGUUCUUGUACCAGCACUGCAGGUGGGUGGAUUGGGAGCGAGUUGACAGGAAGUCACAGGUAUGGGCAGGUGGUGUUGCCUGCUUGCGUGUGGCCUGCCGAGGGGGCGCGGUUUGUGCCCGAUCUUCAACACACAGUUGUUUGUACAGCUCGUGGCAGUGGUGAUCAGCACGCGCUCUAACCUUGACCAACCGCGCCACAAACUUGAUACGAUCCGAAAUCUCCUUGACCACCGCCGUCAGCGCCUCCGCCAGCGCCGCCUCCCGCGCCGGGUCCGCCUGGCGCAGGUGCGGCGGCGUGUCCCACAGCGCCUGCAUCAGCACGUCGCGCUGCGCCUUGCCGUUGUCGCGCCCACCGUUGCCUCCUGCGGUGCUCGGGCACAGCGGACGCGGGUAACAUCACCACAUCACAAGAAGGUCACUUAGCGUCGUCGGCAGCAGAGCAAGCAAGACGGAUCUCUACCACAUCAUGCUUUCCUACCCAGAGGGACGAUGGCCGUCAUCUUGAUGUCCAUGUCCACACCGUGCACCUUGAGCUGCGUGUGUUGGUUGGGUGCUUGACCGUCAGGUGGGCCGGCUGGUAAAAACACAAUCGUGAGCGCGGCAGCCCAGGCACAUGCGACCAUUGGCCAGAAACCACUGAGCCAAAAGCGCGGCAAUCGUUUCCCCCUCCUGUGCGGUCUCAUACGCGGAAGCUGGCAAUUACAUGCACGCUCUACCGCUCGUCCAGCAAGCAGCCAG